This 73-nucleotide transfer RNA is filed under the name Cordylochernes scorpioides. RNAcentral describes it as "tRNA-Thr". It matches the Rfam family "tRNA". Rfam says of the family: Transfer RNA (tRNA) molecules are approximately 80 nucleotides in length. Their secondary structure includes four short double-helical elements and three loops (D, anti-codon, and T loops). Lineage: Eukaryota; Metazoa; Arthropoda; Arachnida; Pseudoscorpiones; Chernetidae. The record is from RNAcentral.
UCCAGGGUAGCCUAGUGGACAUGGCACCUGCCCGGUAAGCAGAAAGUUGUGGGUUCGAUUCCCGCCCCUGGAC